RNAcentral lists this ribosomal RNA (253 nucleotides) under uncultured bacterium. Its description in RNAcentral is "partial 16S ribosomal RNA". It matches the Rfam family "Bacterial small subunit ribosomal RNA", at positions 524 to 776 of the family's 1533-position model. The record is from RNAcentral.
GACAGAGGGGGCAAGCGUUGCUCGGAAUCACUGGGCGUAAAGGGCUCGUAGGCGGCCAACUAAGUCGGACGUGAAAUCCCCAGGCUCAACCUGGGAACUGCGUCCGAUACUGGAUGGCUUGAAUCCGGGAGAGGGAUGCAGAAUUCCAGGUGUAGCGGUGAAAUGCGUAGAUAUCUGGAGGAAUACCGGUGGCGAAGGCGGCAUCCUGGACCGGCAUUGACGCUGAGGAGCGAAAGCCAGGGGAGCAAACGGG